CAUUUGAUUGAUUCCAUUAUAGAACAGAAGAAGCUAAAGAUUGAACAUCAUGUGCCAAAGUGUCUGGUUAAGGUGGUUUAACUUAAACCACUUGUACUUUGCCUACAUAAACCUUCCACGCUUUAUAUGUACACCAAAUUAGGAAAAACUUAACAUACCAACAACUGCUAAUUAAGCAUACAGAGUUUUAACUUUUUAAGUUGGAAAACCAUAACAAGUGAUUACUGGGAAGCAAAAAUUAAGAGGUUUGUUAACCUUUAUGCAUGGUACCAAAAGUUCUGAAAGCCGCAGAUUAAUUCGCAUUAAGGAGACUCAUUAUUUGUCCUUUUGAGAGUGGUUUCAAGUUGCUUAAAGGAGUGGUUAGCUAACCAAAUCACUACUUGGAGACCAAGUCCUUUAGGUACCGUGACUGGUGACCCAUGCAUGCACGUUUGAGAGUUUGUAUUGUGUUUGUAAUCUCUUCUCUCUUCUCAGACGUUGUGAAAACCAAAUUUUUAGCAAUGAUAAGAUCUCCAUUUCCCUAGAAA
Capsella rubella is the source of this 527-nucleotide long non-coding RNA. RefSeq lists it as uncharacterized. NCBI's taxonomy places the organism in Eukaryota, Viridiplantae, Streptophyta, Magnoliopsida, Brassicales, Brassicaceae. The transcript has 3 exons. The record is from RefSeq and is a predicted model, not a curated record.